This 253-nucleotide ribosomal RNA is filed under the name uncultured bacterium. RNAcentral describes it as "partial 16S ribosomal RNA". It matches the Rfam family "Bacterial small subunit ribosomal RNA", at positions 524 to 776 of the family's 1533-position model. The record is from RNAcentral.
UACGGAGGGAGCUAGCGUUGUUCGGAAUUACUGGGCGUAAAGCGUGCGUAGGCGGCCUAGCAAGUUGGGGGUGAAAUCCCGGAGCUUAACUCCGGAACUGCCUCCAAAACUGCUAAGCUAGAAUCCUGGAGAGGUGAGUGGAAUUCCUAGUGUAGAGGUGAAAUUCGUAGAUAUUAGGAAGAACACCAGUGGCGAAGGCGACUCACUGGACAGGUAUUGACGCUGAGGUACGAAAGCGUGGGGAGCGAACAGG